Molecule: long non-coding RNA, 1058 nt
Filed under: Amazona collaria (yellow-billed parrot)
Lineage: Eukaryota; Metazoa; Chordata; Aves; Psittaciformes; Psittacidae
Description: lncRNA (ENSACOG00000011113.1)
Source: RNAcentral
GAAACAGUCCUCUGUGUGUGUCUGCCUGCCUCCUUCUUCCCAGCUGUGCCAUUCUACUUCUUCCCCUGCACUGAAGGUAGUGGUCUUCACACCCCUUGUUGAGCAAAAAAUGAAUAGGAGAAGUGGUAUCAUCUUUAGGCAGCCAGCAGCAACGUGAGAGGCACUGUAAGAGUAGAAACGGAGGACCUCCUUAUCUGUAAGAAGCUAUGAGUGUCAUCUCUUCAAUCUACCUGGACCUACUUGGUCUCAAUUUCUUGGCCUCCCUGGACCCCUCCAGUGUCAAGACUUCAGCCUCCUUGGAACUCUUUAAAAUCCCCUUUUCAGAUUCUUUGGAUUUAUCCAGUCUGAGUUCUUCAUCCUCUGUGGAAUUCUCCAGUCUCACUUCAUCUUCUCUGGACCUUUCAAGUCUCACAUCUUCAGCCUCUUCGGACUUCUCUAGUACAUCCUCUUCAGUCUCCUUAGAGAUCUCCAGUCUCACCUCUUCAGAUUCCUGGGAGCACUCUAGUUUCACCUCUUCAAUUUCAUUGGACUUAUCAAGUCUCACUUCAUCAGGAUCUCUGGAUCACUCUGGUGACAGUUCUUUAGCCUCCUUAGACCUCUCAAGUCUCACCUCUUCACUCUCCCCAGAUUUCUCCAGUCCUACUUCUUCACCCUCUCUAGACCUCUCCAGUGUCAGUUCUUCAUCCUCACCAGAUAUUUCCAGUCACGACUCCUCAGCUUCCUUGGACUCCUAUACAAUCCCUCCACUCUCAUCAGGUGUCUCAGAGCAGACAUCUUCAAGCUCUUCAGACUCACUAGAUCUCACCAAUUUUAACUAUUUCAUGUUUCAAGGCUCCUCUGAAUUAUAUUCAUCAACCUCUGAGGAUGUUUCUAAUCUCAUUCCUACACCCUUUCUGGAUGUCUCCAAUCUCACCUUUCAGGAUGCUUCUUCCCUCACUUCGUCAGUUUCUUUGGACAUUUCUAAUCUCACAUCUUUAGUUCCCCCAGACCUAUCCACUCCCACAUUUCUGGAUGUUGCUAAUUGCACCACUUCAGCUUCUCUUGAUCUCUGCAUCUAA